AAAACGACUCUCGGCAACGGAUAUCUAGGCUCUCGCAUCGAUGAAGAACGUAGCAAACUGCGAUACUUGGUGUGAAUUGCAGAAUCCCGUGAACCAUCGAGUUUUUGAACGCAAGUUGCGCCCAAAGCCGCUAGGCUGAGGGCACGUCUGCCUGGGCGUCACG
Molecule: ribosomal RNA, 163 nt
Filed under: Pachypodium lamerei
Lineage: Eukaryota; Viridiplantae; Streptophyta; Magnoliopsida; Gentianales; Apocynaceae
Also listed under: 3 other names
Description: 5.8S ribosomal RNA
Rfam family: 5.8S ribosomal RNA
About the family: 5.8S ribosomal RNA (5.8S rRNA) is a component of the large subunit of the eukaryotic ribosome. It is transcribed by RNA polymerase I as part of the 45S precursor that also contains 18S and 28S rRNA. Functionally, it is thought that 5.8S rRNA may be involved in ribosome translocation.
Source: RNAcentral